CCCACCAAAACUAAAAAAGAAAAGUGAAUACACAUUAAAACAUGAUUUAGAAAUGUUAAGCUUCCCAACAUUCAUGUAUACUUGCAUUUUAUAUGCAUAAAACCGGCUAACCAUAAAAUGACACACGAGUUGCAUCCAAAAACCCAAAAUUCUCAAUUCCAAAUAAAGUAACGUUUAUGUCCUAUAAUGUAUGACAUAAGAGUCAUAUCUAAAAACCUAAAUCUUGUUGCCUCUUUCUCCUUUCUUUUUAUUCUUCAUAUUGUCCUCCCAAGA
RNAcentral lists this long non-coding RNA (273 nucleotides) under Vitis vinifera (wine grape). Its description in RNAcentral is "long non-coding RNA (VVIN_LNC007266)". The record is from RNAcentral. Lineage: Eukaryota; Viridiplantae; Streptophyta; Magnoliopsida; Vitales; Vitaceae.